Molecule: unclassified non-coding RNA, 1557 nt
Filed under: Hevea brasiliensis (rubber tree)
Lineage: Eukaryota; Viridiplantae; Streptophyta; Magnoliopsida; Malpighiales; Euphorbiaceae
Source: RNAcentral
AUGGAAGAACUCAUAUUUUCUUUUAGAAAAAAUAUUAUUAAGAGGAGUAGAAAUGAAUAAUUAGAAAGAAAUAUCAUUACAAUGAGUUCCACUAAUGGGGCAUGCAUGUGGGACAGUUGAAAAGUUUUAUGAUUUCUGCAACUGCAAUGCUCUCGUGAAAAUGUAAGUGUUAUGAAUGCUAUUGCAAGUUUUAUCAAUUGUGGUAAAAUCAUAUUGAAAUAUUUGCCUUUUUAUUCCUGCUACUCUAAGCAAGCUAGUUGCUGCUAUGUCUCUCUCUCCACUGAUUCUCCACACCUUUUAAUAAAAAUUAGGCCGCUCACCACCAAAAUUUUUUUGCUACUAAUUUGCACAUUAUACCUAACUCGUUCUUCCCACCAUAAUAAAAUCCAUCCCUAGCCAUCAAACACUUGUGCAAAGCCCAAGUAAACAUCGCAAAGAUGAAGCAACAAUUUCUCUUCUCAUUUUCAUUUUUUAUCUUCUUCUUAUUCUUCUAUUGUACCACAACCCUAGCCCAGUCACCUGCGCCGGCUCCGGCUCCAGCGCCACCACGAGGCCCCACUAAUGUCAUCAAAAUCCUCAAGAAGGCUGGCCAAUUCAAGACCUUUAUCCGUCUCUUGAAAUCCACCCAGUUGGAUAGCAACUUAAACUCCCAGCUAGGGAACACAAACAACGGAUUAACAAUCUUCGCACCAAGCGAUAGUGCAUUUUCAAGCCUCAAGAAACGUACUCUCAGCUCCUUGACCAGUCAAGAAAUGGUGGAGUUAGUUCAGUUUCACAUUGUCCCAACAUUCAUCUCCGCUACCCAAUUCGAUACUGUGACUAACCCCUUAAAGACACAUGCUGGAUCAGGCGGUAGGUUUCAGCUCAACGUGACUACAAGUGGGAGUUCAGUGAAUAUAAGAACAGGACUCACCAAUACUACCAUCUCUGACACUGUAUACACAGAUGACCAUCUGGCUAUAUAUAAGGUGGAUAAGGUGCUACUUCCUUUGGACAUAUUUACCCCAAAGCCUCCGGCACCGGCACCGGCACUCGCAACAACAAAGACUAAGGCAGAGACUCCUGAUGAAGAAGAAGAUGAAGUUCAUAAGGAUACUUCUGGUGCAGUAAGUUCUGUUGUGGAUUAUAAUCUGGUGGUGUUGUUAGGAGUAAUUGGUACAGUUUCUGCAACAUUUUCUGUAUAACAAUAUAUAGCAGUUUGGUGGGUUGUGGGGUCAGUUAUAGAAUGGUGUAUGAUUUUGCUUAGUUGGAAGUAAUGGACGGCGGUGAUGUGAUGGAAAGAUGGAGAGAGAUUUUGAAGAAUUAAAGCAAUUUGCAUGAUUUAAUGAAUAAGUUGUGGUUGAGAUUGAAUUUUAAAGUUGUGAUAAUGUUUUGUUUUGUCUUGUUUGAGCUAUGUGAUCAUAAUAUUAUUCUCACAAAGAUGUAAAGUGUGGGUAAUAUGGAGGUGGUCAAUCAGUUUUCCUAUUUUUCAAAUUAGUAAACAACUUGUUGCUUUUCAAAUUUUAAUUAAGUAGAGUACAGAGAAAUACAUUGUCCUCAAUAAUGUAAAAUUCAUGA